Long non-coding RNA from Cotesia glomerata, 134 nucleotides. RefSeq lists it as uncharacterized. The transcript is spliced from 3 exons. The record is from RefSeq and is a predicted model, not a curated record. Lineage: Eukaryota; Metazoa; Arthropoda; Insecta; Hymenoptera; Braconidae.
UUUUAAAAUUUGUAAAAUUAAUUAUUUUAAAUUACAUUUAAUAUUUACUUUCUAAGUUCUAGUAAUUUAUUAAUUCGGAAUGUUGUUAGUCUGACUAGUUGACUGCAACCCCAAAUAUUUUAUCGAGUAAUAAA